AGCAGCCGCGGUAAUUCCAGCUCCAAUAGCGUAUAUUAAAGUUGUUGCAGUUAAAAAGCUCGUAGUUGAAUUUCGGGAUCAAAUUGUCGGUCGUGCCUCGGUACGUACUGGUAUUAUUGGUUCCUCCCUUCUGACGAACCACGAUGUCAUUAAUUUGGUGUCAUGGGAAAUCAGGACUGUUACUUUGAAAAAAUUAGAGUGUUUAAAGCAGGCUCGCGCUUGAAUACAUUAGCAUGGAAUAAUGAAAUAGGACGUUUGAUUCUAUUUUGUUGGUUUCUAGGAUCGACGUAAUGAUUAAUAGGGAUAGUUGGGGGCAUUAGUAUUCAAUUGUCAGAGGUGAAAUUCUUGGAUUUAUUGAAGACUAACUACUGCGAAAGCAUUUGCCAAGGAUGUUUUUCAUUAAUCAAGAACGAAAGUUAGGGGAUCGAAGACGAUCAGAUACCGUCGUAGUCUUAACCAUAAACUAUGCCGACUAGGGAUCGGAUGAUGUUAAUUUUUUUAAUGACUCAUUCGGCGCCUU
This 520-nucleotide ribosomal RNA is filed under the name uncultured Glomus. RNAcentral describes it as "SSU rRNA". It matches the Rfam family "Eukaryotic small subunit ribosomal RNA", at positions 569 to 1089 of the family's 1831-position model. The record is from RNAcentral. Lineage: Eukaryota; Fungi; Glomeromycota; Glomeromycetes; Glomerales; Glomeraceae.